Molecule: ribosomal RNA, 275 nt
Filed under: Dentiscutata heterogama
Lineage: Eukaryota; Fungi; Glomeromycota; Glomeromycetes; Diversisporales; Gigasporaceae
Source: RNAcentral
CAGUCGCGUUAGCUAGAAAUCAGCCUUGCUUUUGCUUGGUGUACUUUCUGGUUGAUGGUCAGCAUCAAUUUUGACCGGUGGAAAAAGGUCAGGGGAAUGUGGCAUCUUCGGAUGUGUUAUAGCCUCUGGUUGUAUACAUCGGUUGGGAUUGAGGAACUCAGCACGCCGCAAGGUCGGGUUUUUAACCACGUUCGUGCUUAGGAUGCUGGCAUAAUGGCUUUAANCGACCCGUCUUAGAAACACGGACCAAGGAGUCUAACAUGUAUGCGAGUGUU